UAAUACGGAGGGUGCAAGCGUUAUCCGGAUUUAUUGGGUUUAAAGGGUCCGUAGGCGGACUGUUAAGUCAGCGGUGAAAGCCCACAGCUCAACUGUGGAACUGCCGUUGAUACUGACAGUCUUGAGUACAAGUGAGGUUGGCGGAAUGUGUGGUGUAGCGGUGAAAUGCUUAGAUAUCACACAGAACACCGAUUGCGAAGGCAGCUGGCCAACUUGUAACUGACGCUGAGGGACGAAAGUGUGGGGAUCAAACAGGAUUAGAUACCCUGGUAGUCCACACCGUAAACGAUGAUUACUAGAUUUUGGCCGUUAGGUCAGAGUCCAAGCGAAAGUGUUUAGUAAUCCACCUGGGGAGUACGUCCGCAAGGAUG
RNAcentral lists this ribosomal RNA (371 nucleotides) under uncultured bacterium. RNAcentral describes it as "bacterial SSU rRNA". It matches the Rfam family "Bacterial small subunit ribosomal RNA", at positions 521 to 896 of the family's 1533-position model. The record is from RNAcentral.